UUUAUUGUAAAUAAAAAAUCAUAAUGUUAUAAUUAAUAAGCUAAUAAGCUAUGGCAAUAAGUUUUAUUAAGAAUAGAGGUAGUGGACCCGGGGGCAGUACUCGGCACCUCCACCAAGCUAUGAAGUGGUUGUAUCUUAUGGGGGUGACAAAGUUUCGACACACCUAAUAAAAUAAUAAAUUUUGCCCGAUAUGAUUCCGUCGUUUUAAGCAGUAUUUAUAAAAAUUGUUUAAAUGGGUCAAAAAAAGAAAUGCAAAUGAUAACAAAAAGCAUUCUACAGACGUUGGUCUCCAAGGGUUUGCAUUAGCAGCUUAAAGGAAUUAACGUACUGAGCGGUAGUAGGGCUUACCGGGCAACAGAAAAGCCCUAAU
This is a non-coding RNA of Orientia tsutsugamushi, 370 nucleotides long. The record is from Rfam. NCBI's taxonomy places the organism in Bacteria, Pseudomonadati, Pseudomonadota, Alphaproteobacteria, Rickettsiales, Rickettsiaceae.